RNAcentral lists this ribosomal RNA (254 nucleotides) under uncultured bacterium. RNAcentral describes it as "partial 16S ribosomal RNA". It matches the Rfam family "Bacterial small subunit ribosomal RNA", at positions 524 to 776 of the family's 1533-position model. The record is from RNAcentral.
GACGAACCGUGCGAACGUUAUUCGGAAUCACUGGGCUUAAAGCGCGUGUAGGCGGGCCGGUACGUCGGACGUUGAAAGCCCCCGGCUCAACCGGGGAAGGGGCGCCGAUACGACCGGCCUGGAGGAACGUAGGGGGAGCUGGAACUUCCGGUGGAGCGGUGAAAUGCGUUGAGAUCGGAAGGAACGCCCGUGGCGAAAGCGAGCUCCUGGACGUUUUCUGACGCUGAGACGCGAAAGCCAGGGGAGCGAACGGG